GUAGGGAAUAUUGGACAAUGGGCGAAAGCCUGAUCCAGCCAUGCCGCGUGAUAGAUGAAGGCCCUCUGGGUUGUAAAUAUCUUUUAUCUGGGAAGAAACUCCUCUAUUCUUAGAGGCCUGACGGUACCAGAGGAAUAAGCACCGGCUAACUCCGUGCCAGCAGCCGCGGUAAUACGGAGGGUGCAAGCGUUAUCCGGAUUCACUGGGUUUAAAGGGUGCGUAAGCGGGUUGAUAAGUCAGUGGUGAAAGCUCCGGGCUUAACUUGGAAACUGCCAUUGAUACUGUCAGUCUUGAAUGUCGUAGAGGUAAGCGGAAUGUUGCAUGUAGCGGUGAAAUGCUUAGAUAUGUUACAGAACACCAAUUGCGAAGGCAGCUUACUAUGCGAUAAUUGACGCUGAGGCACGAAAGCGUGGGGAGCAAACAGGAUUAGAUACCCGAGUAGUCC
This 445-nucleotide ribosomal RNA is filed under the name uncultured bacterium. Its description in RNAcentral is "partial 16S ribosomal RNA". It matches the Rfam family "Bacterial small subunit ribosomal RNA", at positions 354 to 796 of the family's 1533-position model. The record is from RNAcentral.